UUGGUACUUGGAGAGUGGUUAUCCCUGUCCUGUUCGUUUUAAUUACGUCGAAUCGUACAGGGUCAUCCACUUUUUCAGUAUCAA
Molecule: microRNA precursor, 84 nt
Organism: Equus asinus (donkey)
Lineage: Eukaryota; Metazoa; Chordata; Mammalia; Perissodactyla; Equidae
Source: Ensembl